Molecule: small nuclear RNA, 172 nt
Filed under: Numida meleagris (helmeted guineafowl)
Lineage: Eukaryota; Metazoa; Chordata; Aves; Galliformes; Numididae
Description: U2 spliceosomal RNA (ENSNMEG00000007744.1)
Rfam family: U2 spliceosomal RNA
About the family: U2 is a small nuclear RNA (snRNA) component of the spliceosome (involved in pre-mRNA splicing).
Source: RNAcentral
AUCACUUCUUGGCCUUUUGGCUAAGAUCAAGUGUAGCAUCUGUUCUUACCAAUUUAAUAUCCGAUACCUUCUCUAUGACAGGAAUUUAUAUUAAAUGGAUUUUUGGCAUGGGAUUUGGAUUCAGCACUUGCUCCCUCCACUCCAUGCAUCAUCCUGGUAUGGUAGUACCUUG